Brassica oleracea var. oleracea is the source of this 107-nucleotide small nucleolar RNA. It matches the Rfam family "Plant small nucleolar RNA R71". Rfam says of the family: R71 is a member of the C/D box family of snoRNAs containing the C (UGAUGA) and D (CUGA) box motifs. Multiple nearly identical copies of this snoRNA have been identified in Arabidopsis, and it is thought to function as a 2'-O-ribose methylation guide for 18S ribosomal RNA. The record is from Rfam. NCBI's taxonomy places the organism in Eukaryota, Viridiplantae, Streptophyta, Magnoliopsida, Brassicales, Brassicaceae.
AAACCAUGGUGAGGGCAUUGAGCUUGGUAGCCCUUGAAUAUCUCCCAGGCUUCACUGAAUCCUUCCAAGCUCUUCUGUUGAAAGCUGGAGAUCUCAUUUCUCAGAUU